Molecule: ribosomal RNA, 467 nt
Filed under: uncultured bacterium
Lineage: Bacteria
Description: partial 16S ribosomal RNA
Rfam family: Bacterial small subunit ribosomal RNA
Source: RNAcentral
GACGAACGCUGGCGGCGUGCUUAACACAUGCAAGUCGAACGGAAAGGCUCCAGCUUGCUGGCGUACUCGAGUGGCGAACGGGUGAGUAACACGUGGGUAAUCUGCCCUGCACUCUGGGAUAAGCCUGGGAAACUGGGUCUAAUACUGGAUAUGACCUUUCUCCUUAUGGGGUUUGGUGGAAAGUUUUUCGGUGUAGGAUGAGCCCGCGGCCUCUCAGCUUGUUGGUGGGGUGAUGGCCUACCAAGGCGACGACGGGUAGCCGGCCUGAGAGGGCGAUCGGCCACAUUGGGACUGAGAUACGGCCCAGACUCCUACGGGAGGCAGCAGUGGGGAAUAUUGCACAAUGGGCGGAAGCCUGAUGCAGCGACGCCGCGUGAGGGAUGACGGCCUUCGGGUUGUAAACCUCUUUCAGCAGGGACGAAGCGUAAGUGACGGUACCUGCAGAAGAAGCACCGGCUAACUAGGUG